UAACCAUGGUGUGGGCAGGCGAGAAGUGAGUCCUUGAAAUGUUCCCAACAUUAAAAAAAGCUCUCAAUUUUAUUUUGGGAGAAGUUCAUUAUUUCCAGUCUAAGAGC
Small nucleolar RNA from Magnolia sinica, 107 nucleotides. The record is from RefSeq and is a predicted model, not a curated record. NCBI's taxonomy places the organism in Eukaryota, Viridiplantae, Streptophyta, Magnoliopsida, Magnoliales, Magnoliaceae.